This 251-nucleotide ribosomal RNA is filed under the name uncultured bacterium. RNAcentral describes it as "partial 16S ribosomal RNA". It matches the Rfam family "Bacterial small subunit ribosomal RNA", at positions 524 to 776 of the family's 1533-position model. The record is from RNAcentral.
UACGAAGGGUGCGAAGCGUUAGUCGGAAUUACUGGGCGUAAAGCGCGCGCAGGCGGCUAUCCAAGUCUGUGGUGGAAAGCCCGAGCUCAACUCCGGAACUGCCAUUGAAACUGUUUGCUUGAGGAUGAGAGAGGUGAGUGGAAUUCCCAGUGUAGAGGUGAAAUUCGUAGAUAUUGGAAGAACACCGUGGCGAAGGCGGCUCACUGGCUCAUUACUGACGCUCAGGCGCGAUGAGCGUGGGAUCAAACAGG